Molecule: long non-coding RNA, 366 nt
Filed under: Brassica napus (rape)
Lineage: Eukaryota; Viridiplantae; Streptophyta; Magnoliopsida; Brassicales; Brassicaceae
Description: long non-coding RNA (BNAP_LNC023395)
Source: RNAcentral
ACCGCAGCUCUGAAAGCAGUGCACUCUUGCUAACAAAACUCUGGUUGACAUAAAUACUGGUACCAUUCGAUUUUCCUCCUUCUAUAGCAUUUGUCUUAGCAUAUGUCUUUUGGAUUUCUUCAAAACAAAUAUUAUCAUCAUCUUCCUCGUCCUCAUCUGGAACUUUUCCAUAAAGACUGUAAUCCCCACCAUUCUGAUCCGUUUCACCAACAAUAGAAUUAUCAGCAUUCUCCUCCCCAUUUUCCUCCUCCCCAUCUUGAUUUUCAUCUUCAACAAACUCAUUAUCACCAACAUCUUCAUCAUCAUCACCAACAUCUUAUUCCCAUUCACCAGCUUCAUCAUUAUCACCAACAUCUUUUUCCCAUU